RNAcentral lists this ribosomal RNA (506 nucleotides) under uncultured bacterium. RNAcentral's name for it is "partial 16S ribosomal RNA". It matches the Rfam family "Bacterial small subunit ribosomal RNA", at positions 28 to 523 of the family's 1533-position model. The record is from RNAcentral.
GGUGAACGCUGGCGGUAGGCCUAACACAUGCAAGUCGAACGGCAGCACAGAGGAGCUUGCUCCUUGGGUGGCGAGUGGCGGACGGGUGAGGAAUACAUCGGAAUCUACUUUUUCGUGGGGGAUAACGUAGGGAAACUUACGCUAAUACCGCAUACGACCUACGGGUGAAAGCAGGGGACCUUCGGGCCUUGCGCGAUUGAAUGAGCCGAUGUCGGAUUAGCUAGUUGGCGGGGUAAAGGCCCACCAAGGCGACGAUCCGUAGCUGGUCUGAGAGGAUGAUCAGCCACACUGGAACUGAGACACGGUCCAGACUCCUACGGGAGGCAGCAGUGGGGAAUAUUGGACAAUGGGCGCAAGCCUGAUCCAGCCAUACCGCGUGGGUGAAGGAGGCCUUCGGGUUGUAAAGCCCUUUUGUUGGGAAAGAAAUCCAGCCGGCUAAUACCUGGUUGGGAUGACGGUACCCAAAGAAUAAGCACCGGCUAACUUCGUGCCAGCAGCCGCGGUAA